This 536-nucleotide ribosomal RNA is filed under the name Enterococcus hirae. Its description in RNAcentral is "bacterial SSU rRNA". It matches the Rfam family "Bacterial small subunit ribosomal RNA", at positions 9 to 515 of the family's 1533-position model. Lineage: Bacteria; Bacillati; Bacillota; Bacilli; Lactobacillales; Enterococcaceae. The record is from RNAcentral.
GAGUUUUGAACCUGGCUCAGGACGAACGCUGGCGGCGUGCCUAAUACAUGCAAGUCGAACGCUUCUUUUUCCACCGGAGCUUGCUCCACCGGAAAAAGAGGAGUGGCGAACGGGUGAGUAACACGUGGGUAACCUGCCCAUCAGAAGGGGAUAACACUUGGAAACAGGUGCUAAUACCGUAUAACAAUCGAAACCGCAUGGUUUUGAUUUGAAAGGCGCUUUCGGGUGUCGCUGAUGGAUGGACCCGCGGUGCAUUAGCUAGUUGGUGAGGUAACGGCUCACCAAGGCGACGAUGCAUAGCCGACCUGAGAGGGUGAUCGGCCACAUUGGGACUGAGACACGGCCCAAACUCCUACGGGAGGCAGCAGUAGGGAAUCUUCGGCAAUGGACGAAAGUCUGACCGAGCAACGCCGCGUGAGUGAAGAAGGUUUUCGGAUCGUAAAACUCUGUUGUUAGAGAAGAACAAGGAUGAGAGUAACUGUUCAUCCCUUGACGGUAUCUAACCAGAAAGCCACGGCUAACUACGUGCCAGCAGC